This is a long non-coding RNA of Spinacia oleracea (spinach), 898 nucleotides long. RefSeq lists it as uncharacterized. The transcript is spliced from 3 exons. Lineage: Eukaryota; Viridiplantae; Streptophyta; Magnoliopsida; Caryophyllales; Amaranthaceae. The record is from RefSeq and is a predicted model, not a curated record.
GAUAGAAUUAAGGAUGAUUCAAGAAGAUCAAAAACAAAUGUGUAGCAACAUUUGUGGUGAUGAUGGGAUUGUUAAUAGAUCAUCAUCAAUAUCAUCAUCAAAAAAGUUGAAGCAAAUUUUCAUCUCCAUCCACGGAUUCGCCUUCUCGAAAUGGUAUUCAUUUGCCAUUGCCAUUGCCUAAUUUACCAAUUCCUAAUAACCAAAAGCCACUAAAAUCUUGUCGUCCUCCAUCACCUCCUCCAAUGCCGAUUAAUUUGUCGUCUCAAAAUCCGAUUUUUAUGUUACCAAAUACCGAGAAUUUUCACUUAGGAUCAAUACCUUGUUUGAGUCCGGGUAGCAAUGGUGAUGGGGUUCAAGGUGGAUGGCCUCCAAUCCCGGUCCAUGGAAAUGUUGGUUAUACUAAAUUGUGGCAUACAAAUCCUAAUGAGUUUAGUCAUGAUCAGAAUACACAAUAACAUCAACCGCCUUGUUCGAGUUCAUUGGUCAAUAUUUUGUCAUCAUCAACUGUAGUCAAUUUUCCAAUGGAACCCCCUUCAAACCAAAGCUUUUACUCACCAUUGUGGCCAGAUGAGGAUAAGAUGAUGGUUGUUGGUAUGAAGAGGACAUGUCCCUUCCCUUUAGACAACCCUUCGAUACCCACAUUUCACAGUAAAUUCGCUCAUCGUUCACUUAAUUAGCCGGUCAGAUGAAUCGUCAUCAAAUGGAAACAUUAGUGUGGGACUGUGGGUAUCCCGAUUUUCAGGUCAGCUUACCAGAAAGUUGAUCUAAACUUAAAGUUGUAACGAUUCCAACAUAAAGGGGAAUUACGUUGAUGCAUGUUUAAGGCGAAAUGAAAAGUUCGAGUGACAUAAAUAAUGUUACAACGUUGGUUAUUAAUUAAAAUUUACUAAUUACUACC